CAGCUUUUUGCGUUUUAUUUUUUUUCAUGUCAAUCACAUUCUUUAGCAAUUUAGGCCGUCGAACAGCUCCGCAUGCGGCGCUUUUUUUCAGCAUGUCUUCCCUCUGCUUCUUGAGUUCAUCGAAUGAAACCUGUUAACACAGCUGACGACAAAGCUUCGAGCAGGGACCGCACGUUGGGGUAUCGGUGCCACCAAGUCAGCUGUGUCCAUAACAGCACUCUCCAAAAGACUGCCUUCUGCUACAGCCAAUUCAUCAAGACCCAGCUCAGCAGCAGGUACCUGUGAAGCAAGCCCUUGGUUACAGCCAGUAGGGUCUCCCUCCAUCACUGUAAAUGUCACUGCUCCAUUUUUACCUUCUGCUGCAACUAGAGGUAGUGACUGGUCAAGUACUACUGAGCUACCCCCCGAACCAUUUUGUUGAAUAAGAAAUGAAGCUGCAUCUAGUUGCUGCUCCACAUUUGUACCACUGGAGUCUCCUGAUGGUGUGAUGGAGAUGUUGAUAUUACCCUGCUGUUGCAGUUGUUGCAAAUGCUGCAGAAAGGAAGCAUCAAUCUGCACUGUCUGUGUAGAAGGGUUGAGUCCUGUAAUCUGAAUGCCUGGAGCUAGCUGCAACUGGAUCUCACCCAUGAUUCCCUCAGCAUCAGUGGGCUCUUCCGGGAUCGUCUCGUGUGAAGCCUUUUCCUCUCGUUGUAGCAGACGACUUCGUCGCCGUACACCCCCACUCUUAAAAUGUGUCAUAAUAUGGCUUUUGCGAUGACCGGAUGUCCGAAAACGAAGGUCACAGUGGGGGCACUUGAAAGGACGGGAACCUUCGAGUAAAUAAGAAAAUACAAGAAGCAUACUUGAGACAGUAAUACUAUAGUACACUCUUAGAGAUAAAUUCCGAAAUUUUGCAUUCCUUAGGCCACUUUCUAGAAGAGCCUUUCAUGGUUCCUUUUGCCAAAAGAUGCCUGGAAGAUGCAAGUCUAUCUCAAAAGGUCCUUUCACUUAUCCUCACCUAAGAAUAGUCUUCUAUGUAUCUAGGUUAGUGGGCAUUCUUCACAGGCUUCCCAAUGUCUUUAUUCAGCAAAAUAAAGAUUGUUGAUCAAACACAC
Rhipicephalus microplus (southern cattle tick) is the source of this 1094-nucleotide long non-coding RNA. The record is from RefSeq and is a predicted model, not a curated record. Lineage: Eukaryota; Metazoa; Arthropoda; Arachnida; Ixodida; Ixodidae.